GAAUAUUGGACAAUGGGGGGAACCCUGAUCCAGCCAUGCCGCGUGUGUGAAGAAGGCCUUUUGGUUGUAAAGCACUUUAAGCGCGGAGGAGGCUACUUAGAUUAAUACUCUAGGAUAGUGGCCGUUAUUCGCAGAAUAAGCACCGGCCACCUCUGUGCCACCUCCCGCGGUAAUACAGAGGGUGCAAGCGUUAAUCGGAUUUACUGGGCGUAAAGCGCGCGUAGGUGGCCAAUUAAGUCAAAUGUGAAAUCCCCGAGCUUAACUUGGGAAUUACAUUCGAUACUGGUUGGCUAGAGUAUGGGAGAGGAUGGUAGAAUUCCAGGUGUAGCGGUGAAAUGCGUAGAGAUCUGGAGGAAUACCGAUGGCGAAGGCAGCCAUCUGGCCUAAUACUGACACUGAGGUGCGAAAGCAUGGGGAGCAAACA
This 424-nucleotide ribosomal RNA is filed under the name uncultured bacterium. Its description in RNAcentral is "partial 16S ribosomal RNA". It matches the Rfam family "Bacterial small subunit ribosomal RNA", at positions 359 to 774 of the family's 1533-position model. The record is from RNAcentral.